Non-coding RNA from Mycena metata, 100 nucleotides. Lineage: Eukaryota; Fungi; Basidiomycota; Agaricomycetes; Agaricales; Mycenaceae. The record is from the annotation of a GenBank genome assembly.
CACCUGAUAGCACAUGGUGUGCACCUGCUUACCUUGAGAGCCUUCCGGUUUUGGAAAUCUAUGCAGGCAGGAGGUCCCCGUUCGAUUCGGGGUCGGGUGG